CACGCCGCGUGAGUGAUGAAGGCUUUCGGGUCGUAAAACUCUGUUGUUAGGGAAGAACAAGUACAAGAGUAACUGCUUGUACCUUGACGGUACCUAACCAGAAAGCCACGGCUAACUACGUGCCAGCAGCCGCGGUAAUACGUAGGUGGCAAGCGUUAUCCGGAAUUAUUGGGCGUAAAGCGCGCGCAGGCGGUUUCUUAAGUCUGAUGUGAAAGCCCACGGCUCAACCGUGGAGGGUCAUUGGAAACUGGGGAACUUGAGUGCAGAAGAGAAAAGCGGAAUUCCACGUGUAGCGGUGAAAUGCGUAGAGAUGUGGAGGAACACCAGUGGCGAAGGCGGCUUUUUGGUCUGUAACUGACGCUGAGGCGCGAAAGCGUGGGGAGCAAACAGGAUUAGAUACCCUGGUAGUCCACGCCGUAAACGAUGAGUGCUAAGUGUUAGAGGGUUUCCGCCCUUUAGUGCUGCAGCUAACGCAUUAAGCACUCC
This 486-nucleotide ribosomal RNA is filed under the name Priestia megaterium. RNAcentral describes it as "bacterial SSU rRNA". It matches the Rfam family "Bacterial small subunit ribosomal RNA", at positions 393 to 870 of the family's 1533-position model. Lineage: Bacteria; Bacillati; Bacillota; Bacilli; Caryophanales; Bacillaceae. The record is from RNAcentral.